RNAcentral lists this ribosomal RNA (420 nucleotides) under Triticum aestivum (bread wheat). Its description in RNAcentral is "partial small subunit ribosomal RNA". The record is from RNAcentral. Lineage: Eukaryota; Viridiplantae; Streptophyta; Magnoliopsida; Poales; Poaceae.
AUGGGUCUAUUGAAUCAAGCGCUGCUGGUGAUGACACCGUUUGAUAAGGCAAAGGAUGGACUAAGACUGGAGGACCGUGUGCAGAACAAAGGCCAACAAGACGGAGCCGCGAGACAGAGAACAUGUAAUCCAGAGGCUGAUGAAGUGAAUUCCGAGCAUAGCCAUCCUUUAGCAGGUUUGGAACCGCCGGCGAAGAAGAGAAAUCCGGGAAGGCCAAUGAAUGUUAGGAACAGAGCACCUUACGAAAGCACGGCGAAGAGGAGAUUAAGGGGCACAAACGAACAACUUGCCCACAGCAAGGAGACACCCCGAAAAAUCCUAGGAAGGAGGCAAUGUGCAGCAACUGCGGCGUGGUUGGACAUAGGAAGAACGCGUGCAGACAGACCGGCCGGGCAAGGGGCUAAUGCUGAGACUGCAUAG